GACGAACGCUGGCGGCGUGCUUAACACAUGCAAGUCGAACGGAAAGGCCCUGCUUUUGUGGGGUGCUCGAGUGGCGAACGGGUGAGUAACACGUGAGUAACCUGCCCUUGACUUUGGGAUAACUUCAGGAAACUGGGGCUAAUACCGGAUAGGAGCUCCUGCUGCAUGGUGGGGGUUGGAAAGUUUCGGCGGUUGGGGAUGGACUCGCGGCUUAUCAGCUUGUUGGUGGGGUAGUGGCUUACCAAGGCUUUGACGGGUAGCCGGCCUGAGAGGGUGACCGGCCACAUGGGGACUGAGAUACGGCCCAGACUCCUACGGGACGCAGCAGUGGGGAAUAUUGCACAAUGGGCGGAAGCCUGAUGCAGCAACGCCGCGUGCGGGAUGACGGCCUUCGGGUUGUAAACCGCUUUCGCCUGUGACGAAGCGUGAGUGACGGUAAUGGGUAAAGAAGCACCGGCUAACUACGUG
RNAcentral lists this ribosomal RNA (468 nucleotides) under uncultured bacterium. Its description in RNAcentral is "partial 16S ribosomal RNA". It matches the Rfam family "Bacterial small subunit ribosomal RNA", at positions 28 to 507 of the family's 1533-position model. The record is from RNAcentral.